UCUACUAUCCAGCGAAAC
Molecule: small nuclear RNA, 18 nt
Filed under: Arabidopsis thaliana (thale cress)
Lineage: Eukaryota; Viridiplantae; Streptophyta; Magnoliopsida; Brassicales; Brassicaceae
Description: snRNA_17675
Source: RNAcentral